CAUGAAAGUUGUGGGGUGUGUGUAUGGAUAGACUGAGAGGUGUAUAUACAAAGAAAAAUUUGUCUAUGUAUACUAUAUAGUCUGAAUGUAUAUAAAACCAAUAUACUGCUUAUACCUGAAUAAAAAAGGUACAUUUCUCUUUAUGUAAAAAAAAAUCUUUAGGCUAUUAAUGACAUUUAAUAUGAUUUUUUGUCAAUUGU
Penaeus monodon (black tiger shrimp) is the source of this 200-nucleotide long non-coding RNA. RefSeq lists it as uncharacterized. Lineage: Eukaryota; Metazoa; Arthropoda; Malacostraca; Decapoda; Penaeidae. The transcript has 2 exons. The record is from RefSeq and is a predicted model, not a curated record.